CCUUCGAUCUACUGCAGUAUUUACUCUUUCUCAAUUGUGGCAACCCUUAAGCAGCAACGCCGCGUGGAGGAUGAAGGUUUUAGGAUUGUAAACUCCUUUUGUUAGAGAAGAUUAUGACGGUAUCUAACGAAUAAGCACCGGCUAACGCCGUGCCAGCAGCCGAUGUAAUAAGGAGGGUGCAAGCGUUACUCGGAAUCACUGGGCGUAAAGAGUGUGAAGGCGGGAUAAGAAGUCAGCUGUGAAAUCCUGUGGCUUAACUACCGAACUGCAUUUGAAACUGUUACUCUGGAGUUGGGGAGAGGUAGGUGGAAUUCUUGGUGGAGGGGUAAAAUCCGUAGAGAUCAAGAGGAAUACUCAGUGCGAAGGCGACCGGCUGGAACAUUACUGACGCUGAUGCACGAAAGCGUGGGGAGCAAACAGGAUUAGAUACCCGUGUAGUC
Molecule: ribosomal RNA, 440 nt
Filed under: uncultured bacterium
Lineage: Bacteria
Description: partial 16S ribosomal RNA
Rfam family: Bacterial small subunit ribosomal RNA
Source: RNAcentral